RNAcentral lists this ribosomal RNA (431 nucleotides) under Salmonella enterica. Its description in RNAcentral is "partial 23S ribosomal RNA". It matches the Rfam family "Bacterial large subunit ribosomal RNA", at positions 90 to 561 of the family's 2925-position model. RNAcentral also lists the same sequence under 1 other name. The record is from RNAcentral. Lineage: Bacteria; Pseudomonadati; Pseudomonadota; Gammaproteobacteria; Enterobacterales; Enterobacteriaceae.
AUGAACCGUUAUAACCGGCGAUACCCGAAUGGGGAAACCCAGUGUGACUCGUCACACUAUCAUUAACUGAAUCCAUAGGUUAAUGAGGCGAACCGGGGGAACUGAAACAUCUAAGUACCCCGAGGAAAAGAAAUCAACCGAGAUUCCCCCAGUAGCGGCGAGCGAACGGGGAGGAGCCCAGAGCCUGAAUCAGCAUGUGUGUUAGUGGAAGCGUCUGGAAAGGCGCGCGAUACAGGGUGACAGCCCCGUACACAAAAGCGCAUGUGCUGUGAGCUCGAUGAGUAGGGCGGGACACGUGGUAUCCUGUCUGAAUAUGGGGGGACCAUCCUCCAAGGCUAAAUACUCCUGACUGACCGAUAGUGAACCAGUACCGUGAGGGAAAGGCGAAAAGAACCCCGGCGAGGGGAGUGAAAAAGAACCUGAAACCGUGU